CUUUGCAGCUUCUUUACUUUGCUGCCUUGGAAAAAGGUAAGCUCUUGGUGAGUUCUCAUAAAUGAGACGCAAGA
RNAcentral lists this microRNA precursor (74 nucleotides) under Dipodomys ordii (Ord's kangaroo rat). RNAcentral describes it as "miRNA (ENSDORG00000025655.1)". The record is from RNAcentral. Lineage: Eukaryota; Metazoa; Chordata; Mammalia; Rodentia; Heteromyidae.